CAGUAGCCGCGGUAAUACGGAGGGAGCUAGCGUUGUUCGGAAUUACUGGGCGUAAAGCGCGCGUAGGCGGUUACUCAAGUCAGAGGUGAAAGCCCGGGGCUCAACCCCGGAACUGCCUUUGAAACUAGGUGACUAGAAUCUUGGAGAGGUCAGUGGAAUUCCGAGUGUAGAGGUGAAAUUCGUAGAUAUUCGGAAGAACACCAGUGGCGAAGGCGACUGACUGGACAAGUAUUGACGCUGAGGUGCGAAAGCGUGGGGAGCAAACAGGAUUAGAUACCCGCGUAGUCCCUGUCUCUUAUAC
RNAcentral lists this ribosomal RNA (301 nucleotides) under uncultured bacterium. RNAcentral describes it as "partial 16S ribosomal RNA". It matches the Rfam family "Bacterial small subunit ribosomal RNA", at positions 509 to 807 of the family's 1533-position model. The record is from RNAcentral.